AGUGACUUUAGCACCUACAUAAAUCUUGUUAGAUGGUGUGGUCAAGCUGCAAAAAGAAAAGGCUAGUUAAUUCAUGAAUACAUCGAGAAACAAUGAAGAAGGGAAGAUGUGAAAGAACUUCCUCGAAUGUAGGAGUCUAAAGCAUCCUAUUGCCGAAAGCUGACAUAUGACUCCAACUUUUUUGCAUCGGCUCAUAGCAAGGACCCAUGAA
Molecule: long non-coding RNA, 211 nt
Filed under: Elaeis guineensis (African oil palm)
Lineage: Eukaryota; Viridiplantae; Streptophyta; Magnoliopsida; Arecales; Arecaceae
Description: long non-coding RNA (EGUI_LNC007925)
Source: RNAcentral